RNAcentral lists this long non-coding RNA (641 nucleotides) under Mus musculus (house mouse). Its description in RNAcentral is "long non-coding RNA chr2:170294585-170295226". The record is from RNAcentral. Lineage: Eukaryota; Metazoa; Chordata; Mammalia; Rodentia; Muridae.
CACACACAAGAUUUGUUUUCUGGUGCUCAUUUUAAUUUAAUUUUAUUUUGUAGCUGCCAAUAGAAUGUUGGCGUUGAUUUGGGGCUGUUCCUCGAGGAGAAGGGAAGCGCUUCCCACUCAGGGUCCCGAGGAAAUCUUGCGGGCCGCAGAGUUUAUUCAGCUCUACUUCAUCUUUGUUAUUUUCCUCUCUUUGCAGUCCUCGACUCUGGUGAGUCAAUGAAAUGUAGAGCUCAUUGUGGCCGAAGUGGACAAUUUCCUGGAAAACAGCUGGUCAAAUGCCUGCCUUUCAAGUAAACAUCCUCCCCGGAGAAGGUCUUUCUUAGCACCAUCCAGCUCAGCACGGUCAUUUCUGCAGUCCACGUUCCUGUCUAUUGCUCAGAAGAUUCUAGAAGAAUCAGGGGUGAAAUGAGAGCCAAGCCUUACUGUUCCCACCACUGUAUUCAUGCCGGUUCUGGAAGGUUGAAUUUUAUUUUAGCACCUUCUCAUACUCUAGGAGGACAGAGGCAGAAGAAUUCAAUGCACCAUACAUCAGUUAGUAACUUAAACAAUAGUAGAAGUGCGUUUUAUACCCAGGCUGUCUGACUUAAGAACACAUAGGCCCUUAAGCAUGUGUUCUGGACCCCAAGGUCAAAGGUCUCCCU